UACAGAGACUGCAAGCGUUAUUCGGAUUCACUGGGCGUAAAGGGUGCGCAGGCGGCCAAGUGUGUGAGGCGUGAAAGCCUGGAGCUUAACUCCAGAAUUGCACCUCAAACUACAUGGCUAGAGCAUUGGAGAGGGACGUGGAAUUCCGGGUGUAGUGGUGAAAUGCGUAGAGAUCCGGAGGAACCCCAGAGGCGAAGGCGGCGUCCUGGCUCACAACUGACGCUCAGACACGACAGCAUGGGGAGCGAACGGG
RNAcentral lists this ribosomal RNA (253 nucleotides) under uncultured bacterium. Its description in RNAcentral is "partial 16S ribosomal RNA". It matches the Rfam family "Bacterial small subunit ribosomal RNA", at positions 524 to 776 of the family's 1533-position model. The record is from RNAcentral.